UGAACGCUGGCGGCGUGCCUAAUACAUGCACGUCGAGCGAACGGACGAGAAGCUUGCUUCUCUGAUGUUAGCGGCGGACGGGUGAGUAACACGUGGAUAACCUACCUAUAAGACUGGGAUAACUUCGGGAAACCGGAGCUAAUACCGGAUAAUAUUUUGAACCGCAUGGUUCAAAAGUGAAAGACGGUCUUGCUGUCACAUAUAGAUGGAUCCGCGCUGCAUUAGCUAGUUGGUAAGGUAACGGCUUACCAAGGCAACGAUGCAUAGCCGACCUGAGAGGGUGAUCGGCCACACUGGAACUGAGACACGGUCCAGACUCCUACGGGAGGCAGCAGUAGGGAAUCUUCCGCAAUGGGCGAAAGCCUGACGGAGCAACGCCGCGUGAGUGAUGAAGGUCUUCGGAUCGUAAAACUCUGUUAUUAGGGAAGAACAUAUGUGUAAGUAACUGUGCACAUCUUGACGGUACCUAAUCAGAAAGCCACGGCUAACUACGUG
RNAcentral lists this ribosomal RNA (495 nucleotides) under uncultured bacterium. RNAcentral describes it as "partial 16S ribosomal RNA". It matches the Rfam family "Bacterial small subunit ribosomal RNA", at positions 30 to 507 of the family's 1533-position model. The record is from RNAcentral.